GUGUGCCCAUGAUGCACCGUGGGCAGCGCGGAGGAGGGAGGUCUGCCGACGUUGAAUCGUGUUUGCGCCCUCAUCGAAGCCGCAUAGUCAGGUCCGGGAUCAUCACUCAGUCCCCAGGAAAUUCUUCGUGGCGUCUCCGGGCGCGGGAGGCCAGGACCAGGAUUCAAUGGGGAUUUCUUGCCGCUGCAACUUAGCCACGGCGAAGCCGCAUCUCAUCAUGGACUCACGCUUGGACCAACGACGAAGCCUGGCUGGAAUUGCUAAUGAUGCCUCAGGAAUUGCUUGAUGCAGAUCCACCUCUGGCCGUGGACGGACCUCUGCACCUCAUCAACCCCGGUAAGAAUAUCCCUCAAACGUUCACGACCCUCUCUUACGCCCGUAGAAACUCUCGUCUAAUCUUUUGGGUCUCGGAUCGCCAGUACUUCCAUGUCUGGUGAGGGCGCCGCCGCCCUGGCUAACCACACCGCCGUGGUCGUGGCUUGGGUAAGAAGAAGAUGAUGAUCGGCCGUUGGAUCGUUCACCAGCGGUAGGAAUUAGAAAGUCGCGUACCCUUUCGUGGGGAUUGAUCUAGGCCAUAGGAUUAGAGAUGGAUGGCGUAUAAUGGUUUUAAGUCGUGGCUGCCUCUCGGCC
RNAcentral lists this long non-coding RNA (630 nucleotides) under Zea mays. RNAcentral describes it as "long non-coding RNA (ZMAY_LNC001766)". Lineage: Eukaryota; Viridiplantae; Streptophyta; Magnoliopsida; Poales; Poaceae. The record is from RNAcentral.